GAGGAAAGUGGGAGGCGUGCCUAAUACAUGCAAGUCGAGCGAACAGACGAGGAGCUUGCUCCUCUGACGUUAGCGGCGGACGGGUGAGUAACACGUGGAUAACCUACCUAUAAGACUGGGAUAACUUCGGGAAACCGGAGCUAAUACCGGAUAAUAUAUUGAACCGCAUGGUUCAAUAGUGAAAGACGGUUUUGCUGUCACUUAUAGAUGGAUCCGCGCCGCAUUAGCUAGUUGGUAAGGUAACGGCUUACCAAGGCAACGAUGCGUAGCCGACCUGAGAGGGUGAUCGGCCACACUGGAACUGAGACACGGUCCAGACUCCUACGGGAGGCAGCAGUAGGGAAUCUUCCGCAAUGGGCGAAAGCCUGACGGAGCAACGCCGCGUGAGUGAUGAAGGUCUUCGGAUCGUAAAACUCUGUUAUUAGGGAAGAACAAAUGUGUAAGUAACUAUGCACGUCUUGACGGUACCUAAUCAGAAAGCCACGGCUAACUACGUG
Molecule: ribosomal RNA, 497 nt
Filed under: uncultured bacterium
Lineage: Bacteria
Description: partial 16S ribosomal RNA
Rfam family: Bacterial small subunit ribosomal RNA
Source: RNAcentral